GGGCACAUAGCUUAGCUGGUAGAGCAGCCGACUCUUAAUCGGCAGGUCGACGGUUCGAUCCCGUCUGUGCCCACCA
This 76-nucleotide transfer RNA is filed under the name Deltaproteobacteria bacterium. Its description in RNAcentral is "tRNA-Lys". It matches the Rfam family "tRNA". From Rfam's summary of the family: Transfer RNA (tRNA) molecules are approximately 80 nucleotides in length. Their secondary structure includes four short double-helical elements and three loops (D, anti-codon, and T loops). Lineage: Bacteria; Pseudomonadati; Myxococcota; Myxococcia. RNAcentral also lists the same sequence under 4 other names. The record is from RNAcentral.